This 488-nucleotide ribosomal RNA is filed under the name uncultured bacterium. RNAcentral's name for it is "partial 16S ribosomal RNA". It matches the Rfam family "Bacterial small subunit ribosomal RNA", at positions 30 to 507 of the family's 1533-position model. The record is from RNAcentral.
AUUGAACGCUGGCGGCAGGCCUAACACAUGCAAGUCGAACGGUAGCACAGAGAGCUUGCUCUCGGGUGACGAGUGGCGGACGGGUAAGUAAUGUCUGGGAAACUGCCCGAUGGAGGGGGAUAACUACUGGAAACGGUAGCUAAUACCGCAUAAUGUCGCAAGACCAAAGAGGGGGACCUUCGGGCCUCUUGCCAUCGGAUGUGCCCAGAUGGGAUUAGCUUGUUGGUGAGGUAAUGGCUCACCAAGGCGACGAUCCCUAGCUGGUCUGAGAGGAUGACCAGCCACACUGGAACUGAGACACGGUCCAGACUCCUACGGGAGGCAGCAGUGGGGAAUAUUGCACAAUGGGCGCAAGCCUGAUGCAGCCAUGCCGCGUGUGUGAAGAAGGCCUUCGGGUUGUAAAGCACUUUCAGCGGGGAGGAAGGCAAUGCGGUUAAUAACCGUGUUGAUUGACGUUACCCGCAGAAGAAGCACCGGCUAACUCCGUG